This 253-nucleotide ribosomal RNA is filed under the name uncultured bacterium. Its description in RNAcentral is "partial 16S ribosomal RNA". It matches the Rfam family "Bacterial small subunit ribosomal RNA", at positions 524 to 776 of the family's 1533-position model. The record is from RNAcentral.
UACAGAGGUCUCAAGCGUUGUUCGGAAUCACUGGGCGUAAAGGGCGCGUAGGCGGCGUUUUAAGUCGGGGGUGAAAGCCUGUGGCUCAACCACAGAAUGGCCUUCGAUACUGGGACGCUUGAGUAUGGUAGAGGUUGGUGGAACUGCGAGUGUAGAGGUGAAAUUCGUAGAUAUUCGCAAGAACACCGGUGGCGAAGGCGGCCAACUGGACCAUUACUGACGCUGAGGCGCGAAAGCGUGGGGAGCAAACAGG